UUGCCUUUUUGGUUGCACAGGGAUAUGAAAUUAUGAGAAGAGCUCGACAGCGUGAUGUGGAUCGCGCAGAGAGGUACGAACGCAUGGAGAGCCAGAUGAAGGCACUUAAGCAUUAAGGACUUGACAGCACCAGAAUCAAUAUCAACUAAAGCUACAUCCAAUUACUCAUCUCCCCUGGCUCUUCAAAGUGGUAAAUAAUUCAAUUAAUAUGGGGAAUGUAAGUCCAGAAUACAGAAACAGCCAUGAAGAUCAGUUGAACACUGCAGUCAAAGAUUUGGUGGCAGUUUCCUUACUUUAAACACAAAACUUUUCACAGUGACACAAUUGUAUUUACAAGUGGUGUCAAGAAAUAAAAACAUGUGGAAAGAA
This is a non-coding RNA of Thamnophis sirtalis, 369 nucleotides long. The record is from RefSeq and is a predicted model, not a curated record. Lineage: Eukaryota; Metazoa; Chordata; Lepidosauria; Squamata; Natricidae.